CAGAGGUCUCAACCGUUGUUCGGAUUCAUUGGGCGUAAAGGGUGCGUAGGCGGCGGAGUAAGUCAGGUGUGAAAUCUCGGGGCUCAACCCCGAAACUGCACUUGAUACUGCUUCGCUCGAGUACUGGAGGGAGACUGGAAUUUACGGUGUAGCAGUGAAAUGCGUAGAUAUCGUAAGGAAGACCAGUGGCGAAGGCGAGUCUCUGGACAGUUACCGACGCUGAGGCACGAAGGCCAGGGGAGCAAACGGGAUUAGAUACCCCGGUAGUCCUGGCAGUAAACGGUGCACGUUUGGUGUGGGAGGAUUCGACCCCUUCCGUGCCGGAGCUAACGCGUUAAACGUGCCGCCUGGGAAGUACGGUCGCAAGAUUA
This 371-nucleotide ribosomal RNA is filed under the name uncultured organism. RNAcentral's name for it is "bacterial SSU rRNA". It matches the Rfam family "Bacterial small subunit ribosomal RNA", at positions 526 to 896 of the family's 1533-position model. The record is from RNAcentral.